AGAGGGAGUGCUACUACAGAGUGUGCUGCGGUGUGAGGUAGUUGGUUGUAUGGUUUCACAUAAUAAACAGCCCGGAGAUAACUGUACAACCUUCUAGCUUUCCCCGCGGUGUCACCACAACCUACAGUAAGCACCCCUGGAGUCACACCACCAAGCCAACACUGUGGUAAGUAUAGGACUGUCAGAGAAAGUACAUGACACAACACAGAGAGGCUAGUUAGGUCACACACAGGACAACACAGAGGCUAGUUUAGGUCACUAACAAGAAAACACAGAGGCUAGUUUAGGUCACUAACAAGACAACACAGAGGCUAGUUUAGGUCACUAACAAGACAACACAGAGGCUAGUUUAGGUCACUAACAAGACAACACAGAGGCUAGUUUAGGUCACACACAAGACAACACAGAGGCUAGUUUAGGUCACUAACAAGACAACACAGAGGCUAGUUUACGUCACUAACAAGACAACACAGAGGCUAGUUUGGGUCACUAACAAGACAACACAGAGGCUAGUUUAGGUCACUAACAAGACAACACAGAGGCUAGUUAGGUCACUAACAAGACAACACAGAGGCUAGUUUAGGUCACUAACAAGACAACAUAGAGGCUAGUUUAGCUCACAAAAGACAACAUUUGCUCUAUAUUGAAGAACAGACAAUGUAAGUGAACUGUGCAUGGAGGCCAUUUUUCAUUAUGUGAUCCAUUUGUUUUUUUCUGUCGUGGAAGGUUGAGUUUAAUUGGAUUCAAUUGAAUGCAAGAGCUGCCUCCUG
RNAcentral lists this long non-coding RNA (770 nucleotides) under Salmo salar (Atlantic salmon). RNAcentral's name for it is "lncRNA (ENSSSAG00000093171.1)". The stretch from base 28 to 107 matches the Rfam family "let-7 microRNA precursor family". The record is from RNAcentral. Lineage: Eukaryota; Metazoa; Chordata; Actinopteri; Salmoniformes; Salmonidae.